ACCGUUUUCUUCUGGUGUUUAGAGUUCAUUUAGUGUCUAGCACCAUUUGAAAUCGGUUA
Gadus morhua (Atlantic cod) is the source of this 59-nucleotide microRNA precursor. Ensembl annotates it as gmo-mir-29a-3. Its record names the gene gmo-mir-29a-3. The record is from Ensembl. NCBI's taxonomy places the organism in Eukaryota, Metazoa, Chordata, Actinopteri, Gadiformes, Gadidae.